This 216-nucleotide long non-coding RNA is filed under the name Cicer arietinum (chickpea). RNAcentral describes it as "long non-coding RNA (CARI_LNC000202)". The record is from RNAcentral. Lineage: Eukaryota; Viridiplantae; Streptophyta; Magnoliopsida; Fabales; Fabaceae.
AAGUAGGAAACACAACACUAAUCGCAUUCAUCAUGGCAAGAUCUCUAUCAGUCACAAUAACUUUAGAAAUUAAAGUCUCAGAUUUGAACAACUUUCGUACCUUUUCAAAUGUCCAGAUGAAGUUAUCUUGUCGCUCUUGUUCCAAAUAAGAAAACCCUACCGAAAAUGUCAAACUAGUAGAUGUGACACCGACAAUUUCAAGUAGUGGUAACCGAU